This 385-nucleotide ribosomal RNA is filed under the name uncultured bacterium. Its description in RNAcentral is "bacterial SSU rRNA". It matches the Rfam family "Bacterial small subunit ribosomal RNA", at positions 30 to 416 of the family's 1533-position model. The record is from RNAcentral.
AUUGAACGCUGGCGGCAUGCCUUACACAUGCAAGUCGAACGGCAGCACGGGAGCAAUCCUGGUGGCGAGUGGCGAACGGGUGAGUAAUAUAUCGGAACGUGCCCAGUCGUGGGGAUAACGUAGCGAAAGCUACGCUAAUACCGCAUACGAUCUAUGGAUGAAAGCGGGGGAUCGCAAGACCUCGCGCGAUUGGAGCGGCCGAUAUCAGAUUAGGUAGUUGGUGAGGUAAAGGCUCACCAAGCCGACGAUCUGUAGCCGGUCUGAGAGGACGACCAGCCACACUGGGACUGAGACACGGCCCAGACUCCUACGGGAGGCAGCAGUGGGGAAUUUUGGACAAUGGGCGCAAGCCUGAUCCAGCAAUGCCGCGUGCAGGAUGAAGGCC